Molecule: ribosomal RNA, 251 nt
Filed under: uncultured prokaryote
Description: partial 16S ribosomal RNA
Rfam family: Bacterial small subunit ribosomal RNA
Source: RNAcentral
ACGGAGGGUGCAAGCGUUAAUCGGAAUUACUGGGCGUAAAGCGCACGCAGGCGGUUCGCCAAGUCAGGUGUGAAAUCCCCGGGCUCAACCUGGGAACUGCGCUUGUGACUGGCGGGCUGGAGUACGGCAGAGGGGGGUAGAAUUCCACGUGUAGCGGUGAAAUGCGUAGAGAUGUGGAGGAACACCGAUGGCGAAGGCAGCCCCCUGGACCGAUACUGACGCUCAUGCACGAAAGCGUGGGGAGCAAACAG